This 460-nucleotide long non-coding RNA is filed under the name Physcomitrium patens. RNAcentral's name for it is "long non-coding RNA (PPAT_LNC001937)". The record is from RNAcentral. Lineage: Eukaryota; Viridiplantae; Streptophyta; Bryopsida; Funariales; Funariaceae.
UAACUCUAAUAGAAUACUACUUAAACUCUUAUUAGACUAUAAAAAUGCUAAGUAAACUUUAAUCAAAUUCAAAGAAAUCUCAAAGGAAUUAUAAAUAAAUAAUAAAAAAUCUUAAAUAAAUAUUAGAAUGAUCACAAAUAUAUCUCAAAUAUAUCUCAAUUCAAUCUUUAUUUAAUCCUAAUUAAAAUCCUAUUGGACUUCAUUCAAACUUUAGGCCAAAAAAUAACUAAAUCUUAAAUCCUAAAUAAAUCCUAAUAAAAUCCUAAAUCCUAAAUUAAAUACUCGCCAAAUCCUAAAUCCUAAACCCAAAAUCAAACCCUAAAUCCUAAAUCCAAAAUCAAACCCUAAAUCCUAAACCAAAUCCUAUCCAAAUCCUAAUCAAAUCCUAAAUACUAAAUCAAAUUCUAAUCUUAAAUCAAAUCCUAACCAAAUCCUAAUCCUAAAUCAAAUCCUAACCAAA